UAACAAGGAUUCCCCUAGUAACUGCGAGUGAAGCGGGAAAAGCUCAAAUUUAAAAUCUGGCAGCUUUGGCUGUCCGAGUUGUAGUCUGGAGAAGCGUUUUCUGUGCUGGACCGUGUACAAGUCUCUUGGAAUAGAGCGUCAUAGAGGGUGAGAAUCCCGUCUUUGACACGGACUGCCAGUGCUUUGUGAUGCGCUCUCAAAGAGUCGAGUUGUUUGGGAAUGCAGCUCAAAAUGGGUGGUAAAUUCCAUCUAAAGCUAAAUAUUGGCGAGAGACCGAUAGCGAACAAGUACCGUGAGGGAAAGAUGAAAAGCACUUUGGAAAGAGAGUUAAACAGUACGUGAAAUUGUUGAAAGGGAAACGCUUGAAGUCAGUCGCGUGUGCUAGAACUCAGCCUGGUUUUUACUUGGUGCAUUUUCUGGUACACGGGCCAGCAUCAAUUUUGACCGCUGGAUAAAGGCCUCAGGAAGGUGGCACCUUCGGGUGUGUUAUAGCCUGGGGUUGUAUACAGCGGUUGGGAUUGAGGAUCUCAGCAUGCCUUUUGGCCGGGGUUCGCCCACGUUCAUGCUUAGGAUGCUGGCGUAAUGGCUUUAAACGAC
Molecule: ribosomal RNA, 597 nt
Filed under: Steccherinum nitidum
Lineage: Eukaryota; Fungi; Basidiomycota; Agaricomycetes; Polyporales; Steccherinaceae
Description: partial 28S ribosomal RNA
Rfam family: Eukaryotic large subunit ribosomal RNA
Source: RNAcentral